GGGGAUUUAGCUUAGCGGUAUAAGCGCCUGCUUGGCAAGCAUGAGGUCAUGAGUUUGAUCCCCU
Cavia porcellus (domestic guinea pig) is the source of this 64-nucleotide transfer RNA. It matches the Rfam family "tRNA". Rfam says of the family: Transfer RNA (tRNA) molecules are approximately 80 nucleotides in length. Their secondary structure includes four short double-helical elements and three loops (D, anti-codon, and T loops). The record is from Rfam. Lineage: Eukaryota; Metazoa; Chordata; Mammalia; Rodentia; Caviidae.